Molecule: non-coding RNA, 72 nt
Organism: Lasiosphaeria ovina
Lineage: Eukaryota; Fungi; Ascomycota; Sordariomycetes; Sordariales; Lasiosphaeriaceae
Source: the annotation of a GenBank genome assembly
GGCCUUGUGGCGCAAUGGUAGCGCGUUCGACUCCAGAUCGAAAGGUUAUCCGUUCAAAUCGGGUCAGGGUCA